UGUAUAGUGGCAUUUAUAUGCAUGCGUGUGUGUAUAUAUAUAUAUACAUACACACAUACACACACACACACACACACACAC
This 81-nucleotide microRNA precursor is filed under the name Loxodonta africana (African savanna elephant). RNAcentral describes it as "miRNA (ENSLAFG00000025228.1)". The record is from RNAcentral. Lineage: Eukaryota; Metazoa; Chordata; Mammalia; Proboscidea; Elephantidae.